Molecule: transfer RNA, 85 nt
Filed under: marine bacterium B5-7
Lineage: Bacteria; Pseudomonadati; Pseudomonadota; Gammaproteobacteria
Also listed under: 3 other names
Description: tRNA-Tyr
Rfam family: tRNA
About the family: Transfer RNA (tRNA) molecules are approximately 80 nucleotides in length.
Source: RNAcentral
GGAGGGGUACUCAAGCGGUCAACGAGGGCAGACUGUAAAUCUGUUGGCUCAGCCUUCGUAGGUUCGAAUCCUACCCCCUCCACCA